This 531-nucleotide ribosomal RNA is filed under the name uncultured eukaryote. Its description in RNAcentral is "SSU rRNA". It matches the Rfam family "Eukaryotic small subunit ribosomal RNA", at positions 21 to 550 of the family's 1831-position model. The record is from RNAcentral.
UAGUCAUAUGCUUGUCUUAAAGAUUAAGCCAUGCAUGUCUAAGCACAAGCCGAUUAAUGGUGAAGCCGCGAAUGGCUCAUUACAACAGCCAUAGUUUCUUAGAUCUUACUUUUCUACUUGGAUAACUGUGGUAAUUCUAGAGCUAAUACACGCAAAAAAGCUCAGACCUUACGGAAUGAGCGCAUUUAUUAGAACAAAAACCAAUCGGGCUUCGGUCCGUCAUUUGGUGAAUCUGAAUAACUUUGCUGAUCGCACGGUCUUCGUACCGGCGACAUAUCUUUCAAAUGUCUGCCUUAUCAACUUUCGAUGGUAGUUUAUGCGCCUACCAUGGUUGUAACGGGUAACGGAGAAUAAGGGUUCGACUCCGGAGAGGGAGCCUGAGAAACGGCUACCACAUCCAAGGAAGGCAGCAGGCACGCAAAUUACCCACUCCCGGCACGGGGAGGUAGUGACGAAAAAUAACGAGACGGCUCGCUAUGCGGUCCGUCAUCGGAAUGGGUACAAUUUAAAUCCUUUAACGAGGAUCUAUUG